GGGCGGUUGGCGCAGUGGUAGCGCACUUCCCUGACACGGAAGGGGUCACAAGUUCGAACCUUGUAUCGCCCAC
RNAcentral lists this transfer RNA (73 nucleotides) under Chlamydia trachomatis. RNAcentral's name for it is "tRNA-Val(gac)". It matches the Rfam family "tRNA". From Rfam's summary of the family: Transfer RNA (tRNA) molecules are approximately 80 nucleotides in length. RNAcentral also lists the same sequence under 1 other name. Lineage: Bacteria; Pseudomonadati; Chlamydiota; Chlamydiia; Chlamydiales; Chlamydiaceae. The record is from RNAcentral.